UACGUAGGGGGCAAGCGUUGUCCGGAUUUAUUGGGCGUAAAGAGCGUGUAGGCGGUCAGGUAGGUCCGUUGUGAAAACCCGAGGCUCAACCUCGGACUUGCAGUGGGUACGGGCAGACUAGAGUGUGGUAGGGGAGACUGGAAUUCCUGGUGUAGCGGUGGAAUGCGCAGAUAUCAGGAGGAACACCGAUGGCGAAGGCGGUUCUC
RNAcentral lists this ribosomal RNA (206 nucleotides) under uncultured bacterium. RNAcentral's name for it is "partial 16S ribosomal RNA". It matches the Rfam family "Bacterial small subunit ribosomal RNA", at positions 524 to 729 of the family's 1533-position model. The record is from RNAcentral.